GGAGCCGGCCUUGAAAUACCACCCUUUAAUGUUUGAUGUUCUAACGUGGACCCGUGAUCCGGGUUGCGGACAGUGUCUGGUGGGUAGUUUGACUGGGGCGGUCUCCUCCUAAAGAGUAACGGAGGAGCACGAAGGUUGGCUAAUCCUGGUCGGACAUCAGGAGGUUAGUGCAAUGGCAUAAGCCAGCUUGACUGCGAGCGUGACGGCGCGAGCAGGUGCGAAAGCAGGUCAUAGUGAUCCGGUGGUUCUGAAUGGAAGGGCCAUCGCUCAACGGAUAAAAGGUACUCCGGGGAUAACAGGCUGAUACCGCCCAAGAGUUCAUAUCGACGGCGGUGUUUGGCACCUCGAUGUCGGCUCAUCACAUCCUGGGGCUGAAGUAGGUCCCAAGGGUAUGGCUGUUCGCCAUUUAAAGUGGUACGCGAGCUGGGUUUAGAACGUCGUGAGACAGUUC
Molecule: ribosomal RNA, 451 nt
Filed under: Shigella sonnei
Lineage: Bacteria; Pseudomonadati; Pseudomonadota; Gammaproteobacteria; Enterobacterales; Enterobacteriaceae
Description: partial 23S ribosomal RNA
Rfam family: Bacterial large subunit ribosomal RNA
Source: RNAcentral